Molecule: non-coding RNA, 90 nt
Organism: Daedaleopsis nitida
Lineage: Eukaryota; Fungi; Basidiomycota; Agaricomycetes; Polyporales; Polyporaceae
Source: the annotation of a GenBank genome assembly
GGCAAUAUGGCCGAGCGGUCUAAGGCGCUGGAAUCAGGAGACCGUCCUAUCCAGUCCGAAAGGGCGUGGGUUCGAAUCCCACUGUUGUCA